This 496-nucleotide ribosomal RNA is filed under the name uncultured Beggiatoa sp. Its description in RNAcentral is "bacterial SSU rRNA". It matches the Rfam family "Bacterial small subunit ribosomal RNA", at positions 8 to 492 of the family's 1533-position model. Lineage: Bacteria; Pseudomonadati; Pseudomonadota; Gammaproteobacteria; Thiotrichales; Thiotrichaceae. The record is from RNAcentral.
AGAGUUUGAUCCUGGCUCAGAUUGAACGCUGGCUGCACGCUUAACACAUGCAAGUCGAACGGCAGCACAACCCUACGCAAGUAGGGUGGGUGGCGAGUGGCGGACGGGUGAGGAAUACAUAGAGACUUACCCUGGAGAGGGGGAUAACCUAGGGAAACUUAGGCUAAUACCGCGUAAGCUCGGGAGAGGAAAGCUGGGGACCGCAAGGCCUGGCGCUCUAGGAGAGGUCUAUGUCAGAUUAGCUAGUUGGUGGGGUAAAGGCCUACCAAGGCGACGAUCUGUAGCUGGUCUGAGAGGACGGACAGCCACACUGGGACUGAGACACGGCCCAGACUCCUACGGGAGGCAGCAGUGGGGAAUAUUGGACAAUGGGGGAAACCCUGAUCCAGCGAUGCAGCGUGUGUGAAGAAGGCCUGCGGGUUGUAAAGCACUUUCGGUAGAGAAGAAGUUCUUUGGUUAAAUAUCCCAAAGAGUUGACGUACCUACAGAAGAAGAC